RNAcentral lists this non-coding RNA (23 nucleotides) under Cricetulus griseus (Chinese hamster). The record is from RNAcentral. Lineage: Eukaryota; Metazoa; Chordata; Mammalia; Rodentia; Cricetidae.
AAAGGGAAAUGAGUUUGAACUGA